GGCCCUUAUCCGCCUCGUCAUUUCUACUCCCCACCUUGUGAGCCGCUGAAUCUGCCAUUCAUUGGCACGUGACCAGUGGACAAGGAAAUCUCAUGUUGCUGAGAAUGCCGUAGUUCGAGUGAGUUCCUCACUACCUGAAAAUGUCCAUUUGAAGACACGAUCAGGCUUUCAAGAUCUAUCAAUGUUUAGUGUGACAACAUGCACCAGCUCACAUCGAAACAGCGCAGGUUUAGUGAUUCUCAUCUUAGCACAUUUUAUCAGGGCAUGACGGUUUUUUAAACCAAACGUCCUCGAAUAUUUUCCACCCGUGGUUGGCCGCAGGCAGAACUGGGCGUCACGUGACCGACAUCCCGAGCGAUACCCAGCCUGUAUGUGAAAUAAGUUGUAUAUUCUUGGUCUUUUCCAUGUCCACCUGCUGUAGCACUAUUUUAUGGACAUGCGUUGGGAAAAUACACUUCCAGUUGCUG
Pollicipes pollicipes is the source of this 467-nucleotide long non-coding RNA. RefSeq lists it as uncharacterized. Lineage: Eukaryota; Metazoa; Arthropoda; Thecostraca; Pollicipedomorpha; Pollicipedidae. The transcript has 2 exons. The record is from RefSeq and is a predicted model, not a curated record.